This 695-nucleotide ribosomal RNA is filed under the name uncultured bacterium. Its description in RNAcentral is "bacterial SSU rRNA". It matches the Rfam family "Bacterial small subunit ribosomal RNA", at positions 730 to 1424 of the family's 1533-position model. The record is from RNAcentral.
UGNUCUGUCACCGACGCUGAGGCUCGAAAGCGUGGGUAGCGAACAGGAUUAGAUACCNUGGUAGUCCACGCCGUAAACGCUGAGUGCUAGGUGUUAGGUCCUUUCCGGGACUUAGUGCCGACGCUAACGCAUUAAGCACUCCGCCUGGGGAGUACGACCGCAAGGUUGAAACUCAAAGGAAUUGACGGGGGCCCGCACAAGCGGUGGAGCAUGUGGUUUAAUUCGAAGCAACGCGAAGAACCUUACCAGGUCUUGACAUCCCGAUGCCCGCUCUAGAGAUAGAGUUUUACUUUUUGUACAUCGGAGACAGGUGGUGCAUGGUUGUCGUCAGCUCGUGUCGUGAGAUGUUGGGUUAAGUCCCGCAACGAGCGCAACCCUUAUUGUUAGUUGCCAUCAUUAAGUUGGGCACUCUAGCGAGACUGCCGGUAAUAAACCGGAGGAAGGUGGGGAUGACGUCAAAUCAUCAUGCCCCUUAUGACCUGGGCUACACACGUGCUACAAUGGUUGGUACAACGAGUCGCAAGCCGGUGACGGCAAGCUAAUCUCUGAAAGCCAAUCUCAGUUCGGAUUGUAGGCUGCAACUCGCCUACAUGAAGUCGGAAUCGCUAGUAAUCGCGGAUCAGCACGCCGCGGUGAAUACGUUCCCGGGCCUUGUACACANCGCCCGUCACACCACGAGAGUUUGUANCACCCAA